Microplitis mediator is the source of this 956-nucleotide long non-coding RNA. RefSeq lists it as uncharacterized. The transcript has 5 exons. NCBI's taxonomy places the organism in Eukaryota, Metazoa, Arthropoda, Insecta, Hymenoptera, Braconidae. The record is from RefSeq and is a predicted model, not a curated record.
CCCGAUACUCCAGUUUACUAUUUAGAAUAUCCACGUGAUAAUUAUUUAAAAGUUAAUCGCUAUGUAAACGUAAGUUUAAAUGAAUAAUUAUUAUCAUUAAAUUCUAAUAAUAUCUAACUUUAUUAGAAAUUUGAAGCAUCCCCUUCUUAUAACUACUAUCGUAAUCCGGAGAAUAAAUCCAACGGUAAGUAAUUCUGUAAAUAAAAUAACAUAAAAUAAACUAAUUAAAUUUUUUUUUCCAGGCACAUUUAUUCCGAAGGUAUUAGUAAUCCUUGAUUGGGAUGAUCUAGUUGAAAACCGAACAGAGCAAGAUAUUCUUAAUGAAGUAUUGGCGGAUUGGAAUAGAGUAGAUAAAUAUUUUGAACAACUUGACAAUCCCAAAAUAAAAUUGGCUAUUGCUGGAGUCGUCAUACCGACAAAAUCAGAUACUUGGAACACAACGAAAAUUAGUCAGUCUGGUGAUCUUUCUCCCGAUCGUCAUUUAUAUGAAAUUAUUUGGACCAUUUCAUAUCUUUUACCUUAUUGUCCAAAUUUUAUGGAAAAGUGGUUAAAUGACAAUGCCGAUCGGUUUGAAAGGUUCGAAUAUGAUUUUUUUAUAUUCAAGACGAACCGGGAAUGGGAUAGAGCGUGGUAUUUAACCUAUGAUACUCACAUGACGGACAAUCGGUUUAGUUGUGAUACCAAAAAUAGUCCCAAUUCCCGUUCAUUGGGAAGAGUCGUGUGGAAAAGCUUGGAAUUUAUAAAAUGAGUGAUAAGGAUUGUGUUUGGGAGAUGAUCUCCAAUCCGGGACUUUUGGAAAUGUAUAUCUUUACUUGGCCUGAAUGUUCUAAAAGCGCCUUUAGAUCGAUGAUCAAUAACACCAGAUACACUUGUCUACAUCAAAUACCUCAUGAUGAAGAUGAAGACGAUUACUCAUGAUUUAAUUCAAACUUUCAGAUAAAUUUUGUACUUCAAGC